GACGAACGCUGGCGGCGUGCCUAAUACAUGCAAGUUGAGCGCUGAAGGUUGGUACUUGUACCAACUGGAUGAGCAGCGAACGGGUGAGUAACGCGUGGGGAAUCUGCCUUUGAGCGGGGGACAACAUUUGGAAACGAAUGCUAAUACCGCAUAAAAACUUUAAACACAAGUUUUAAGUUUGAAAGAUGCAAUUGCAUCACUCAAAGAUGAUCCCGCGUUGUAUUAGCUAGUUGGUGAGGUAAAGGCUCACCAAGGCGAUGAUACAUAGCCGACCUGAGAGGGUGAUCGGCCACAUUGGGACUGAGACACGGCCCAAACUCCUACGGGAGGCAGCAGUAGGGAAUCUUCGGCAAUGGACGAAAGUCUGACCGAGCAAACGCCGCGUGAGUGAAAGAAAGGUUUUCG
RNAcentral lists this ribosomal RNA (405 nucleotides) under Lactococcus lactis. Its description in RNAcentral is "bacterial SSU rRNA". It matches the Rfam family "Bacterial small subunit ribosomal RNA", at positions 28 to 420 of the family's 1533-position model. The record is from RNAcentral. Lineage: Bacteria; Bacillati; Bacillota; Bacilli; Lactobacillales; Streptococcaceae.